Molecule: ribosomal RNA, 253 nt
Filed under: uncultured bacterium
Lineage: Bacteria
Description: partial 16S ribosomal RNA
Rfam family: Bacterial small subunit ribosomal RNA
Source: RNAcentral
UACAGAGGGUGCAAGCGUUAAUCGGAAUUACUGGGCGUAAAGCGUGCGUAGUCGGUUAUCUAAGUCGGGUGUGAAAUCCCCGGGCUCAACCUGGGAAUUGCAUUCGAUACUGGAUAGCUAGAGUUCGGCAGAGGGAAGCGGAAUUUCGGGUGUAGCGGUGAAAUGCGUAGAUAUCGGGAGGAACAUCAGUGGCGAAGGCGGCCUUCUGGUCCAGUACUGACACUCAAGUGCGAAAGCGUGGGGAGCAAACAGG